UGCCUGACGUGGACGCUAGUCUCAUAGGUUAAGCCAUGCAUGUGUAGGCGAAGCAUUUUGUGGAGCGGCGGAAGGCUCAGUAACGGGCGUCUAUUUGAUCUUCUGAGACGGACAACCUCUGUAACCGGAGGCCAAUACGUCAGAGGCACGGUUACCCUGUGUGGUGGUGUGCCGAAAGCAUUGCGCGGAAGAGUAAGGAGCCAUCCCAUCAG
Molecule: ribosomal RNA, 212 nt
Filed under: Heterosporis anguillarum
Lineage: Eukaryota; Fungi; Microsporidia; Pleistophoridae
Description: partial small subunit ribosomal RNA
Rfam family: Microsporidia small subunit ribosomal RNA
Source: RNAcentral